This is a non-coding RNA of 307 nucleotides. It matches the Rfam family "Archaeal signal recognition particle RNA". The record is from Rfam.
UGUUAGGCUUGGCCGGGGAGCUUGGCGUGCCCUACACCUGCAAACGUCAUAGCAGGGGUGACAGUGGGGGGCGGCAGAGCUGAAACGGCGGGCCCGCGUAGCGACAAUGAGACUUUGUCCUGUAGAGUCGGAGUAUGCCGAGCGUUGUUCCGGAGGGAGCAUCGGGCGGCACCAAUCGGGGGGAACGGGUCAGGCCCUGACGGGAGCAGCCUUACCUUGAACUACUGACGUUUAUGGGUUAGCAGGGUUGAGGAGCGAUGCGGUAAACCCGUUUGCGGAUGCGAUGUCCACCUUCAUGUGCCUAACA